This 235-nucleotide ribosomal RNA is filed under the name Desulforamulus aquiferis. Its description in RNAcentral is "partial 16S ribosomal RNA". It matches the Rfam family "Bacterial small subunit ribosomal RNA", at positions 1301 to 1533 of the family's 1533-position model. The record is from RNAcentral. Lineage: Bacteria; Bacillati; Bacillota; Clostridia; Eubacteriales; Peptococcaceae.
UAGUCUGCAACUCGACUACAUGAAGUCGGAAUCGCUAGUAAUCGCAGGUCAGCAUACUGCGGUGAAUACGUUCCCGGGCCUUGUACACACCGCCCGUCACACCACGAAAGUUGACAACACCCGAAGCCGGUGAGCUAACUCGUAAGAGAGGCAGCCGUCGAAGGUGGGGUUGAUGAUUGGGGUGAAGUCGUAACAAGGUAGCCGUAUCGGAAGGUGCGGCUGGAUCACCUCCUUU